Molecule: unclassified non-coding RNA, 367 nt
Filed under: Heliconia indica
Lineage: Eukaryota; Viridiplantae; Streptophyta; Magnoliopsida; Zingiberales; Heliconiaceae
Description: partial external transcribed spacer
Source: RNAcentral
GUGGGUGGGCGAAUGGCCCCUAGAAUGGAAUGACCGUGUCGGCACGUGAGCGGUGAUGGAUUCGCAUGCCACGGCGGGCUCCCUGCCACUGCGCAGCCAACCGCCGUCGCGGCAGCCCUUUCACUCGUGCUCCAACCNCUCGGAGCCUCCCGAGUUGCCUGUACGACAUACCCGGUUCUCGGGCAAAUGACUUCGUCCGACACGCUCUUCCGCUCCCCCCGCCUUCGUGCGGGCANGGAGCGGCAACGUCGGCGGUCCUGGUGCUCCCUCGGACGACGGCACGGCUUCGGCCCCUCGUCUCGUCUCGAUCGGCCCUCGAGGAUUCGCCAGCUCUCGCGGACACGGUAGACAAUGUUGGAUCGGGGCC